Molecule: ribosomal RNA, 1113 nt
Filed under: Triticum aestivum (bread wheat)
Lineage: Eukaryota; Viridiplantae; Streptophyta; Magnoliopsida; Poales; Poaceae
Description: partial small subunit ribosomal RNA
Source: RNAcentral
AUGAGCAUCCAGCUUUCACAGGCACACCUCACAACACCUCACAACCCGGCCGGCAGCAAAACCAUGGAAGGAAGCGGGCCGCCAUUCCGAGCGAUCAGGCCGAGCAAAGGUGCCAUACUAGUGAAGUAUAGUACUGCUAAGCAAACAUCCAUCUUUUGCCUUGCCGUCGGUUUUGUCACUGCUGCCAGCAAACUCUUUCUUCACAUCAUUUCUGAAGUCAUUGCGCUGCUCAUUUACUCUUCACACAUUGCAGGUCAGGGAGGCCUUCUUACAUGUCAACCGGCGAGGCUCGCCCGCAUCCUUACCCUACUGUCGUUGUUGCUCAUUUCUUGUGGAGUCGGCAGCAUCCGCUGCUCCUCCUCAACGACGACAAUCCAUGAUAACAGCACCGACAUGAUCUCACUGCUAGAUUUCAAGCGGGCCAUCACCAACGACUCAAGUCAAGCCUUGAGAUCUUGGCACGUCGGCGUCCCCCUUUGCGGAUGGAAGGGCGUCGUCUGCAGCGACCCGAAGCACCUGGGCCGAGUCAUCGAGCUGAACCUUAUGAACCUAUCAUUGUCGGGCACGAUUUCACCGUCGCUCGGGAAUCUAACAUUCCUUAGGAGACUGGACCUGUUCAGUAAUGGCUGCACCAGCAAGAUACCUCCUCUCAACCGUCUCCAAAGAUUGGAAUACCUUGACUUGGGGUACAAUUCACUGCAAGGGAUCAUUCCGAAUACUCUUACAAACUGCUCCAAUCUAUGGUACCUAGUCCUGUCUAGCAACUUACUAAUAGGAGAAGUUCCCAGCGGUAUAGGCUGCCUAUCCAAUCUAGUGUCGUUAGAGCUUGGAGGAAAUAAUCUCACUGGAGAAAUCCCACCAAGCCUAAAAAACAGCAGUCAGCUUGAAUACAUCUGGCUUGCUGAUAAUAAGCUCACCGGAACCAUUCCUGAUGAGUUGGGAAAACUACCAAAUCUUUCUUAUUUAUACCUUGAAGAAAAUAGGCUAUCAGGUCGAAUCCCAAAAACCCUGUACAAAUACAAUCAGUCUUGUCUCAAAAUUUUAGACUUAAGUUCCAAUAUGCUUGGGAAAACUCUGUCAUCUAACUUUGGUGACACCCUCCUGAAUCUUUGA